CAGCCCUUGACAUCCCGGUCGCGGUUACCAGAAAUGGUUUCCUUCAGUUCGGCUGGACCGGUGACAGGUGCUGCAUGGCUGUCGUCAGCUCGUGUCGUGAGAUGUUGGGUUAAGUCCCGCAACGAGCGCAACCCUCGCCCUUAGUUGCCAUCAUUCAGUUGGGCACUCUAAGGGGACUGCCGGUGAUAAGCCGAGAGGAAGGUGGGGAUGACGUCAAGUCCUCAUGGCCCUUACGGGCUGGGCUACACACGUGCUACAGUGGUGGUGACAGUGGGCAGCGAGACCGCGAGGUCGAGCUAAUCUCCAAAAGCCAUCUCAGUUCGGAUUGCACUCUGCAACUCGAGUGCAUGAAGUUGGAAUCGCUAGUAAUCGCGGAUCAGCAUGCCGCGGUGAAUA
Molecule: ribosomal RNA, 396 nt
Filed under: uncultured bacterium
Lineage: Bacteria
Description: bacterial SSU rRNA
Rfam family: Bacterial small subunit ribosomal RNA
Source: RNAcentral